This 61-nucleotide transfer RNA is filed under the name Chloebia gouldiae (Gouldian finch). RNAcentral describes it as "Erythrura gouldiae (Gouldian finch) tRNA". It matches the Rfam family "tRNA", at positions 7 to 64 of the family's 71-position model. Rfam says of the family: Transfer RNA (tRNA) molecules are approximately 80 nucleotides in length. Their secondary structure includes four short double-helical elements and three loops (D, anti-codon, and T loops). Further hydrogen bonds mediate the characteristic L-shaped molecular structure. tRNAs have two regions of fundamental functional importance: the anti-codon, which is responsible for specific mRNA codon recognition, and the 3' end, to which the tRNAs corresponding amino acid is attached (by aminoacyl-tRNA synthetases). tRNAs cope with the degeneracy of the genetic code in two manners: having more than one tRNA (with a specific anti-codon) for a particular amino acid; and 'wobble' base-pairing, i.e. permitting non-standard base-pairing at the 3rd anti-codon position. Lineage: Eukaryota; Metazoa; Chordata; Aves; Passeriformes; Passeridae. The record is from Rfam by way of RNAcentral. RNAcentral also lists the same sequence under 2 other names.
UUAGCUCAGUUGGUUAUAGCAUGGUGCUAAUAACACCAACAUUGUGGGUUUGAUCCCCAUA